Molecule: ribosomal RNA, 253 nt
Filed under: uncultured bacterium
Lineage: Bacteria
Description: partial 16S ribosomal RNA
Rfam family: Bacterial small subunit ribosomal RNA
Source: RNAcentral
AACGUAGGUUCCGAGCGUUAUCCGGAUUUACUGGGCGUAAAGCGCGUUCAGGCGGUUUGGCAAGUCGGGCAUGAAAUCUCUCGGCUCAACCGGGAGAGGUUGUCCGAUACUGCUGGACUUGAGGGCAGUAGAGGGUGGUGGAAUUCCGGGUGUAGUGGUGAAAUGCGUAGAUAUCCGGAGGAACACCAGUGGCGAAGGCGGCAUCCUGGACCGAAACUGACACUGAGGCGCGAAAGCCAGGGGAGCAAACGGG